RNAcentral lists this ribosomal RNA (749 nucleotides) under uncultured soil bacterium. RNAcentral describes it as "bacterial SSU rRNA". It matches the Rfam family "Bacterial small subunit ribosomal RNA", at positions 94 to 845 of the family's 1533-position model. The record is from RNAcentral.
AGUGUCUUAAGGGUGCGUAACACGUAUGCAAUCUGCCCUGUACAGGAGGAUAGCUCCCCGAAAGGGGAAUUAAUACUCCGUAACAAGAUGGUGAGGCAUCUCACUAUUUUUAAAGCUGAGGCGGUACAGGAUGAGCAUGCGCAUGAUUAGUUAGUUGGCGGGGUAACGGCCCACCAAGACGAUGAUCAUUAGGGGAACUGAGAGGUUGAUCCCCCACACUGGCACUGAGAUACGGGCCAGACUCCUACGGGAGGCAGCAGUAGGGAAUAUUGGACAAUGGGUGCAAGCCUGAUCCAGCCAUGCCGCGUGCAGGAAGAAGGCCUUCUGGGUUGUAAACUGCUUUUGCCAGGGGAUAAAAUAGCUGUGCGCAGCGAAUUGAAGGUACCUGGUGAAUAAGCCACGGCUAACUACGUGCCAGCAGCCGCGGUAAUACGUAGGUGGCAAGCGUUGUCCGGAUUUAUUGGGUUUAAAGGGUGCGUAGGCGGUCUGUUAAGUCAGUGGUGAAAUACGGCAGCUCAACUGUCGAGGUGCCAUUGAUACUGGCGGACUUGAGUACUGAUGAGGUAGGCGGAAUGGACGGUGUAGCGGUGAAAUGCUUAGAUAUCGUCCAGAACACCGAUAGCGAAGGCAGCUUACUAAGGAGUAACUGACGCUGAGGCACGAAAGUGUGGGGAUCAAACAGGAUUAGAUACCCUGGUAGUCCACACUGUAAACGUUGAUCACUCGAUGUUGGCGAUACACAGCCAGAG